ACGACUUUGGGGUAUGAGCCAGAUGUCCAGCUACAGGUGUUCAAUUGACCUCAUACCACCCUUCUCAAAGGCUAUGAUGAUGCAGAACAAGAAAGCAAUGGAUGCUGGGGUGAAGGUUUAUCCUCUUAAGUCAUGAAUCCCUCAUUUGUCUUAGACACAUUGAAAGUUGGAGAUUGGUCUGGAGACCACGUGAGCAACGCCAUGAAGAGACCUUCACAAGGAAACACCACAUCAUUCCCACUCCUGGAAUUAUGCCAAGCAAAAAACCCUAUGAAUUUGUCCUGCGCUAAACAACUUGUAUCACAUGGCCCCAAGAAGUACUGAGUACUGGUCAGGUGUCUCAGGGCAGGAGUAACCAGAUACCACAACACAGCUGCAAAGGUCCCUUGGGAUCCAUGCCAUGACCGGUCAAAGCUGUUUUGGUGGAAGGAGGAGGACCUCACAAUAUUAGGCAAGUAGUUUUAAUGUUAUGGCUCAUCGGUGUAUAUAAACAAUACACAAAGGGAGAAAUAUAAUAUUUGUUAGAUUUAAAGGAACACUACAUGUAGAAGACUGCACAAAACACAUAGAUAAAUCCCACUAUUUUUCCAUUAGCACUACCACCAUAGCUAAGCCCUACCCUCAGCUGUCCAUAAGUUGAAAAUGGAAAGGACCAGGAAUAAAUGAGUACAUGCAUAAAUUAGUCUGCAAGACUUCUGUGUUACGGACAUGCACAAAACUCUUUAACUGUCAAACAGUGUAGACAGGUUGUCCUAUAUUUUCAUGUUUAUUGUUUACUUCACUUUAAAGAGCA
Bufo bufo (common toad) is the source of this 793-nucleotide long non-coding RNA. RefSeq lists it as uncharacterized. The transcript has 3 exons. Lineage: Eukaryota; Metazoa; Chordata; Amphibia; Anura; Bufonidae. The record is from RefSeq and is a predicted model, not a curated record.